UACGGAGGGUGCAAGCGUUAUCCGGAUUCACUGGGUUUAAAGGGUGCGUAGGUGGGCAGGUAAGUCAGUGGUGAAAUCUCCGGGCUUAACCCGGAAACUGCCAUUGAUACUAUCAGUCUUGAAUACCGUGGAGGUAAGCGGAAUAUGUCAUGUAGCGGUGAAAUGCUUAGAUAUGACAUAGAACACCAACUGCGAAGGCAGCUUACUACCCGAAUAUUGACACUGAGGCACGAAAGCGUGGGGAUCAAACAGG
RNAcentral lists this ribosomal RNA (253 nucleotides) under uncultured bacterium. RNAcentral describes it as "partial 16S ribosomal RNA". It matches the Rfam family "Bacterial small subunit ribosomal RNA", at positions 524 to 776 of the family's 1533-position model. The record is from RNAcentral.